UGGCUCAGGACGAACGCUGGCGGCGUGCUUAACACAUGCAAGUCGAACGGACUGGCCUUGAGCUUGCUUGGGGUUGGUGAGUGGCGAACGGGUGAGUAACACGUGAGUAACCUGCCCUCUUCUUUGGGAUAACGGUCGGAAACGGCUGCUAAUACUGGAUAUUCACUCAUUGGCGCAUGUUGGUGGGUGGAAAGAUGCACUUUUGGUGUUUUUGGUGGGGGAUGGGCUCGCGGCCUAUCAGCUUGUUGGUGGGGUGAUGGCCUACCAAGGCUUUGACGGGUAACCGGCCUGAGAGGGUGACCGGUCACAUUGGGACUGAGAUACGGCCCAGACUCCUACGGGAGGCAGCAGUGGGGAAUUUUGCACAAUGGGCGCAAGCCUGAUGCAGCGACGCCGCGUGAGGGAUGGAGGCCUUCGGGUUGUGAACCUCUUUCGCUCAUGGUCAAGCCGCGACUUUGGGUUGUGGUGAGGGUAGUGGGUAAAGAAGCGCCGGCUAACUACGUGCCAGCAGCC
RNAcentral lists this ribosomal RNA (513 nucleotides) under Schaalia funkei. RNAcentral's name for it is "bacterial SSU rRNA". It matches the Rfam family "Bacterial small subunit ribosomal RNA", at positions 20 to 516 of the family's 1533-position model. The record is from RNAcentral. Lineage: Bacteria; Bacillati; Actinomycetota; Actinomycetes; Actinomycetales; Actinomycetaceae.